UACGUAGGGGGCUAGCGUUGUCCGGAAUCAUUGGGCGUAAAGAGCGUGUAGGCGGCCCGGUAAGUCCGCUGUAAAAGUCAAAGGCUCAACCUUUGAAUGUCAGUGGAUACUGCCGGGCUAGAGUCCGGAAGAGGCGAGUGGAACUCCUGGUGUAGCGGUGGAAUGCGCAGAUAUCAGGAAGAACACCAACGGCGAAGGCAGCUCGCUGGGACGGUACUGACGCCGAGACGCGAAAGCGUGGGGAGCGAACAGG
Molecule: ribosomal RNA, 253 nt
Filed under: uncultured bacterium
Lineage: Bacteria
Description: partial 16S ribosomal RNA
Rfam family: Bacterial small subunit ribosomal RNA
Source: RNAcentral